Molecule: long non-coding RNA, 1045 nt
Organism: Dicentrarchus labrax (European seabass)
Lineage: Eukaryota; Metazoa; Chordata; Actinopteri; Moronidae
Exons: 2
Source: RefSeq, a predicted model, not a curated record
AAUAAGUCCAUUAAAACGCUCCAAUUAAUUCAGAACGCUGCAGCACGAGUACUGACAGGAACUAGAAAAAGAGAUCACAUCUCUCCUGUACUAGCUACUCUGCACUGGCUCCCUGUAAAAUGUAGAAUUGAAUUUAAAAUCCUCCUCCUCACCUAUAAAGCUCUUCAUGGUCAGGCCCCUUCAUAUCUUAAAGAGCUCAUAGUACCCUAUUACCCCUCUAGAACACUACGUUCUCUGAAUGCUGGGCUACUUGUGGUUCCUAUAGUCUCUAAAAGUAGAACAGGAGCCAGAGCCUUCAGUUACCAAGCUCCUCUCCUGUGGAACCAGCUUCCAGUUGUGGUUCGGGAGGCAGACACCCUCUCCACAUUCAAGAGUAGGCUUAUGACAUUCCUCUUUGAUAAAGCUUAUAGUUAGGGCUGGAUCAGGUGAGUCCUGAACCAUCCCUUAGUUAUGCUGCUAUAGGCCUAGACUAUCGGGGGAUUUCCCAUGGUGCACUGAGCUCCUCCCUUCCUCUCUCUUUCUGCACUCAUUCAUGUCCCAUUAAUGCAUGUUACUAACUCCACUUCUUCCCCGGAGUUCUUGUGCUUUCUCGUCUCGCAGGUUCUCAUGGAUCCUGGUGGAGCCUCCUGCCAUGGUCCUGCUUGACUGCCAUUGCCAAUACUGUUGUUGCUGUGCACCUGUCUGUCUGUCUGUCUCUCGCUCUCUCUCUCUCUGCCUCUCUCUCUCGCUCUCUCUCUCUCUGCCUCUCUCUCUCUGCCUCUCUCUCUCUCUCUCUCUCUCUCUCUCUCUCUCUCUCUCUCUCUCACCCCAACUGGUCGAGACAGACGACCACCCACCUAGAGCCGAAGGAUCUGUCCUAGGUUUCUGCCUUUUAACAGGCAGUUUUUCCUUGCCCUUGUCGCCAAGUGCUUGCUCAUGGUGGUACUGUUGGGUCUCUGUAAUUAAUGUUAAAGAGUUCGGUCUAGACCUGCUCUAUUUGAAAAGUGUCCUGAGAUAACUUCUGUUAUGAUUUGGCGCUAUACAAAUAAAAUUGAAUUGAAUUGAA